AAUAUUUAUAUUUAAACAGAAUCAACAAAAUAACAUGUGCGGCUCUCAAAUAAAAAUUGUGCGUGUACACAUAUUUAUGGGCCCGUUACGGACAAUUAUCUAGUAAUAUAAAAUAUCAACUGAGAGGUCGACUAAUGUACCCAAAAAAUCCAUGUAACUUCCACUCAGAAUAUAGGCGAACAUAUUUAUCAUGCUAAGCACUUGUGCUGGUAUCAUUUCUAGCAAGAAAAAAAAAAUCAAAAUUUGUCAAUCGAGCAUUGUCCAUGUCGAUCUUUAGAUAUAAUCCAAACUUGCCAAUCGAGCAUUGCCCAUGUCCUUCAAAACUUGCCAAUCAAUUUGUUUUUUUCGUGCAGAUCAUGUACGCUCAAUGCACACCUGGAGUAAUGAACAAAGAUUUACAACCAAAUCCUGUCGGACAGAAGACAAACUCUUCUCUUUUCAUCGACAUCCUCACCUCCCCCAACAAUAGACAACAUCAGUUUACUGUCGCAAGAACUUUUUCUUUAUGAGGCAUUAUCAUAGUACUUGUUCUUUGUGACAAAAUAGCAGUACCAUCAGAUGAAACAGUUAUCGUCAGUAAACUUAUACAUGGAUUAAUAUGAAUACGAAGUUCAAACUUCCUCCAACCGAAACGGUGUGCUCAACUACAUCUGAUGUUGUGUUUUGAAAAGCAAUCAUGUAAUCCAUGGCCCUAUCCUUACUUAAAAGUAACCUUAGUUUUCUGACCAGUUUACCUCAAACUAUGCUUGUAUUUCUUAGAACUGGUCAUGUGAGACAUGCAUUCCAUUCUAUCAAAAAAAGUGCAAACACAAUGCCGCACUGUCCUCAAAACCCAUUUUGCUCAUCUGCAACCUCUAUGGUUGUGAUCAGCGGAUAAACAUUGUACAGAACUACAGAAGCACAAAUAGUCAAACAACUCUGAUUACUUCUGUCAUGGUCAUACAUAAAGUAUAUGGUUAGAGAACUGAAGUUGUACCUUGUUGCACCUUGAAGUACAGUUUGGAUCAUUUUCACUGGGUCAAUGAUACCAUCCUUCAUCAUAUGAAGCACUUUUGCAGCCACACGCGCUUGGAUGGUAUCUCCAGGCAAUUGGCCAGGGGCGCAGCAGGGUGAUGCCAGGAGGACGCUGGGAUUACGGCCGAAUAAUGAUGGUCAGCGACGGCAGAAUGAUGCGAGGAGGACGCCGGGAUUACGACCGAAGAAAAAAGUAUCACUGCACCACCGAGAAAAUUAGAAAAUUCUGAGAAAAAGGCCAUCAGACCGACAACAAAGUAGACCUAAACGUAUUUUGUUUAUAAAUAAUGGAGUUUGAGUAGCAUUAACAUAUAGUGCAGUACUUAAAUGUUCUGAAUUGUAGUUAAAUAAAUAUAGCAAACCUUUCCACUUAUAGUCAAGGUGAAAAUGUACGGAUACAAAUAGGUGAAUUCCCAGAAUGUUGUGCAGAAAUUUGCCUUUGGGAAGGCUAACAAUUUUUAUGUUGCUUCACUUUUAGCUUGUCUUGCGAUGACAGGUGGGCUGGUCGAGUUUGUAAUGGUCUUCCUAGAAUCCCAGUCAUCAAUAAAGUCUGAAUGUUCAUCCUGUCGUUUAAUUUGGUCGAUUGUUGAGGCAUGGAUAAAAAGUAUAACUGAAUAAUUAUACACAUCAUGAUUGUAUUCUCAUACGCUUAUGAGCUAACACAUGUACCUCUCACAAACAUCCAACUAUGGGUCAUCAUCAGGUUCAUGUUCCUGCAAAGGAAUAGGAAAAACAAUGAGAAAUUUAAGCCGAACAAGGAGAAGAUCAACAAAAGCUACAGAAAAUCAAAAACGGCUAGGUGCCAUGUCAAGAUCCUUAAUCAAAAGCAAACUAUAUUAGUUCAAUAAACGGCAAUAUGGAAAGCAUACUGAUUAGGAAGCAUUAAUUAAGCCAACAUAUGAUUUCUCCUUUCUGACUCCUUUAUCCUUUCACACUCAGCUCCCUGAGCUCCUCCUCUUUGUUACAUGUAUCUUGAAAAAAUAGUCAUCAUGCAAAUUUAUGUACAAGGUAAUUCCAUUUGCUUUAGGAAAAUUCUAGUAUAAGGAAACUUUUCAGUACAGGCAGAUUAGUUUUGGAAUCCACACCACAAACAAAAUCUAUUUCUUAAUAUAUAACUUACAAUCUACGUCAGAGAAAUUAUCAACAAACUAAAAGGACUUUAACCUGCAACAUCCCAUGUGCAUCCACGCUGCAGCGCCUUCCUCUAAGCCUUUGCUGCUGCAUGAGAUGAAAGAGAGUUAUUUAGAGGGUCGUACACACACCAGAAGUCCUGAAAGCAAAAACAUCUUUCCAUCCAGCAAUCCUUUCAAGGGAACAUGAGAAGCACAACAUCAGAUGCAGUCGAUUGAUACAUACAAUUUCUGAAUUAAUGUGAACACACAGCAGAACCUUACUGAAAUCUACAAUUUCAUAGAAACAUGUUAACCAAACACAACAAGGAGAUAAAAGGGAGGCGUCCGAUCUGGGUGCACCCAAAAGUUGCGGAAGGCGUCGGCGACCUCCGGUCAAGAACAGCGGGGCCGUGGCUUGGCACUGCGGUGGCGUUGCGCUAGUGCGGGCGUGUGGCGGCGGGGUUGUCGCUCGGUGAUGCGGCUGCAGGGCGCUCGCGC
RNAcentral lists this long non-coding RNA (2624 nucleotides) under Triticum aestivum (bread wheat). Its description in RNAcentral is "long non-coding RNA (TAES_LNC006416)". Lineage: Eukaryota; Viridiplantae; Streptophyta; Magnoliopsida; Poales; Poaceae. The record is from RNAcentral.